AACCGCCGUAUACCGAACGGUACGUACGGUGGUGUGAGAGGACGGGGGAGGUGACUCCCCCUCCUACUCGAU
This 72-nucleotide non-coding RNA is filed under the name Chromohalobacter canadensis. Lineage: Bacteria; Pseudomonadati; Pseudomonadota; Gammaproteobacteria; Oceanospirillales; Halomonadaceae. The record is from RNAcentral.